RNAcentral lists this ribosomal RNA (447 nucleotides) under uncultured bacterium. Its description in RNAcentral is "partial 16S ribosomal RNA". It matches the Rfam family "Bacterial small subunit ribosomal RNA", at positions 29 to 523 of the family's 1533-position model. The record is from RNAcentral.
AACGAACGCUGGCGGCAGGCUUAACACAUGCAAGUCGAGCGCCCCGCAAGGGGAGCGGCAGACGGGUGAGUGACGCGUGGGAAUCUACCCAUCACUACGGAACAACUCCGGGAAACUGGAUCUAAUACCGUAUACUUCCUUCGGGAGAAAGAGUUAUCGGUGAUGGAUUAGCCCGCGGUUGAUUAGCUAGGUGGUCGGGUGAUGGCCCACCAAGGCGACGAUCCAUAGCUGGUCUGAGAGGAUGAUCAGCCACACUGGGACUGAGACACGGCCCAGACUCCUACGGGAGGCAGAAGUGGGGAAUAUUGGACAAUGGGCGCAAGCCUGAUCCAGCCAUGCCGCGUGAGUGAUGAAGGCCCUAGGGUUGUAGAGCUCUUUCACCGGUGAAGAUAAUGACGGUAACCGGAGAAGAAGCCCCGGCUAACUUCGUGCCAGCCGCCGCAGUAA